GAUGAACGCUGGCGGCGUGCCUAAUACAUGCAAGUCGAGCGAACAGACGAGGAGCUUGCUCCUCUGACGUUAGCGGCGGACGGGUGAGUAACACGUGGAUAACCUACCUAUAAGACUGGGAUAACUUCGGGAAACCGGAGCUAAUACCGGAUAAUAUAUUGAACCGCAUGGUUCAAUAGUGAAAGACGGUUUUGCUGUCACUUAUAGAUGGAUCCGCGCUGCAUUAGCUAGUUGGUAAGGUAACGGCUUACCAAGGCUACGAUGCGUAGCCGAACUGAGAGGAUGAUUGGCCACACUGGAACUGAGACACGGUCCAGACUCCUACGGGAGGCAGCAGUAGGGACUCUUCCGCAAUGGGCGAAAGCCUGACGGAGCAACGCCGCGUGAGUGAUGAAGGUCUUCGGAUCGUAAAACUCUGUUAUUAGGGAGGAACAAAUGUGUAAGUAUCUAUGCACGUCUUGACGGUACCUAAUCAAAAAGCCACGGCUAACUACGUG
Molecule: ribosomal RNA, 497 nt
Filed under: uncultured bacterium
Lineage: Bacteria
Description: partial 16S ribosomal RNA
Rfam family: Bacterial small subunit ribosomal RNA
Source: RNAcentral